Long non-coding RNA from Mustela lutreola (European mink), 434 nucleotides. RefSeq lists it as uncharacterized. The transcript has 3 exons. The record is from RefSeq and is a predicted model, not a curated record. NCBI's taxonomy places the organism in Eukaryota, Metazoa, Chordata, Mammalia, Carnivora, Mustelidae.
AAAGAACUUCAUCUACAACAUUUGGGCAGAAAUAGAGGAGUUCCAACUCUGCAUGUUCUGAUGGGUUGUGUAAUAAGGUAAAUCAACAACAGGAAAUGGAUACACCCAUCCUGUGGACAUAGCUUGGAAGGUUUGUUCCUUAAGUAAGAGGAGGCUUAAGCAUCCAAUAAGAGACAAGGCUCAGAUUCAUUCCCCAGGAGCUGAUUCUUAACUUUGGGGUGCAUGCAACUUGUAACAGGGGCAAUGGCAGAAGAAGCCAGACUAUCUUGGGUCCAAAUCUUGGCCCUGGAAACAGUAACUGGAAGAUCUUGAGAGCGUCUCUUAAUUUCUCUUCCUUCUCUACAUGAAGAGGUUUUUAUCUGGCAGCGUCUUGCGAGAUUGAAAUUCCUUUUGCUUUGCCUCAGACGUGGUUACUCCCUCCACAUGCAAGCCCC